Molecule: ribosomal RNA, 464 nt
Filed under: uncultured bacterium
Lineage: Bacteria
Description: partial 16S ribosomal RNA
Rfam family: Bacterial small subunit ribosomal RNA
Source: RNAcentral
GACGAACGCUGGCGGCGUGCUUAACACAUGCAAGUCGAGCGGAAAGGCCCUUUCGGGGGUACUCGAGCGGCGAACGGGUGAGUAACACGUGAGUAAUCUGCCCUUCACUUGGGGAUAACCUCCGGAAACGGUGGCUAAUACCCGAUACGACCAUUCCUCGCAUGAGGUGGUGGUGGAAAGUUUUUCGGUGGGGGAUGUGCUCGCGGCCUAUCAGCUUGUUGGUGGGGUAAUGGCCUACCAAGGCUUCGACGGGUAGCCGGCCUGAGGGGGUGACCGGCCACACUGGGACUGAGACACGGCCCAGACUCCUACGGGAGGCAGCAGUGGGGAAUAUUGGACAAUGGGCGGAAGCCUGAUCCAGCAACGCCGCGUGAGGGAUGACGGCCUUCGGGUUGUAAACCUCUUUCACCUGUGACGAAGCGAAAGUGACGGUAGCAGGAGAAGAAGCACCGGCCAACUACGUG